AACUAUUUCUACCAACAUUCCAUCAUCAUUAGUGUCAUUAAAAGCUCCACUCCAAGUCCCAAUAAACAUUCGGUGAUAAUUUGCUCUCGCAGCAAUGAAAGAAAUUCUAAUAAAAAAAAUGUUAAACAUUUUAAAUUUUUAAUUUCAAGAAAUUAUCUUAAAUUAUAAAAUUUAAGUAAACUAAUUAUAUUUUAUAAGUUUUUAGUAUAAAAAAUUUAAGAUGUGCAGCACUAUUUUAUUUUUUCAUAAAAAUUGUUAUUCUCACUCUUGUAGAAAGUGGAAUCCUAUAAUGAUAAAUUUAUAAAUUAUUAUCUUAGUGUCAUUUCUAACCUAUUUUAAAUUCAAAAAACGACAAAAAAAAUAAAUUUUAAAUCAUGUAACAAACCAUGCAUUAUUGUUAUUAUUUUUAAAGUUCUUAAGCCUCGUAGUCGUUGAAUUCAAGCUAUAUUAAAUUAGUUUACAUCAAUAUCAUAUCUAAAACUUCGAUAUUUAUUCAUAUGUUAACGCUCUUAAGAAGAGUUGCUGGGGAAGGCACUAGUCAAAGUCAAUAAAAAUUGUCAUAAGCUUUUCAUGAAAUAUUAUUUUUGAGUUAAUUAUUUUGGAAUUAUGAGCCAUUUCUAUCCUUUUUAUUUGCAAGGCAAAUUAUUUUGUCUAAUAGAAAUCCAUUUGAUACUAUGUAAAAAAUCUUGAUUCUUGAUGAUUCAACUUCAUAGAAUGGUGAUAUGAUCUAAGAUCUUAAACUCUUAUUAAAAUAUAAGACGAAUUGACAACAAUGUAAAUAUAAUUUUACAUCGUUAUAAAUUAUUUGACAAUUUCAUAAAUUGUCAAAACUCAUCCGAAUUUUAAUUCCAGAUUGAAAAUUUUUCCUUAUACUCCGUAAUAAUCAAAUCUUUAGUCCACGUCAUAGCCCAUGCACACCGCACUAAUUGACAUGCACCAAUAAAUUUUUUGCAUGCAAUUUUAUAUAUCAAAAAGUAGCUUCGCAUUAUUAUGCCUGUGCUCUAUAAAGUAGAAGUAAAUAGACCUCACCUUGUCUUCUUAGGGAGCUCUCGGGUCAUGGAGAAAAGCAAAUCAUUUUCAGGGAAUCCAAGCUCCUGCUUCGACGCCCAGUUCGGGUUCGAGGAUCGGUCGAAAUCUUAUAGCUUCAACGGUCCGACCGGGAAGGCGGAUGUGUUAGCCUCUUCAGGCAACCCAGAGAGCAAGAGGAGGAAAAGGGUGGCUGCUUAUAAUAUGUACACUAUGGAAGGUAAGCUCAAGUCAUCGCUUCGCAACAGUUUCAAGUGGAUCAAGAACAAGUUCAGUGAUGAUUAAUGCGAUGUUUGAAGUAAGCAAGCUGUUCUUUGGCAACAGAAAUUAGGGUUCUUCUUCUUCUUUUUUUUUUUUUUUAAUCCCAUAAUUGAAUUGUGAUUAUGUUUUGAAGUUUGUGUAUAAGGAGCUUGUAAUAUAAAUCGAUGAUCGUCAUGUGUUUGUUGUUUGUUCGUGUUUCUUUCUUAUUGCCUCCGAGCACUGCAUGUUAACUACAGAUUGAUGAUUGACGAGCCUGUUUAAUUAACAAACUAUUGAGCUUUACUAUUUCAAUGGGCUUGCAAUCUGUAGGGGUGCAUUUAGACGCAUUAAAUUAAAUUGGGCAGAAACACUUUAAAGACCCAUCACUUGUGAGUCCAUUUUAAUGGGGCUUCUUAAGUACAGAUGAAUUUAUUGAUACAAGUUUGAAGUUUACAUUCUUCCCACGAAGCGAUGCCAAUAAUUCACUUUCGAUCAUUCUUUACCUCUCCUUCGGCUC
Molecule: long non-coding RNA, 1783 nt
Filed under: Citrus x clementina
Lineage: Eukaryota; Viridiplantae; Streptophyta; Magnoliopsida; Sapindales; Rutaceae
Description: Citrus clementina (C. clementina) long non-coding RNA (CCLE_LNC001560)
Source: RNAcentral